Molecule: ribosomal RNA, 371 nt
Filed under: uncultured bacterium
Lineage: Bacteria
Description: bacterial SSU rRNA
Rfam family: Bacterial small subunit ribosomal RNA
Source: RNAcentral
GUAGGUGGCAAGCGUUGUCCGGAUUUACUGGGCGUAAAGAGCGCGCAGGCGGUCGUUCAAGUCGCGUGUGAAAGCCCCCGGCUCAACUGGGGAGGGUCACGCGAUACUGAUCGACUCGAAGGCAGGAGAGGGAAGUGGAAUUCCCGGUGUAGUGGUGAAAUGCGUAGAUAUCAGGAGGAACACCAGUGGCGAAGGCGACUCCCUGGCCUGUUCUUGACGCUGAGGCGCGAAAGCUAGGGGAGCAAACGGGAUUAGAUACCCCGGUAGUCCUAGCCGUAAACGAUGGACACUAGGUGUUGGUGGUAUCAACCCCGCCAGUGCCGAAGCUAACGCAUUAAGUGUCCCGCCUGGGGAGUACGGCCGCAAGGCUA